UUGAUCAUGGCUCAGGACGNACGCUGGCGGCGUGCNUNNUACAUGCNAGUCGAACGNACUCUGGUAUUGAUUGGUGCUUGCAUCAUGAUUUACAUUUGAGUGAGUGGCGAACUGGUGAGUAACACGUGGGAAACCUGCCCAGAAGCGGGGGAUAACACCUGGAAACAGAUGCUAAUACCGCAUAACAACUUGGACCGCAUGGUCCGAGUUUGAAAGAUGGCUUCGGCUAUCACUUUUGGAUGGUCCCGCGGCGUAUUAGCUAGAUGGUGGGGUAACGGCUCACCAUGGCAAUGAUACGUAGCCGACCUGAGAGGGUAAUCGGCCACAUUGGGACUGAGACACGGCCCAAACUCCUACGGGAGGCAGCAGUAGGGAAUCUUCCACAAUGGACGAAAGUCUGAUGGAGCAACGCCGCGUGAGUGAAGAAGGGUUUCGGCUCGUAAAACUCUGUUGUUAAAGAAGAACAUAUCUGAGAGUAACUGUUCAGGUAUUGACGGUAUUUAACCAGAAAGCCACGGCUAACUACGUGCCAGCAGCCGCGGUAAUACGUAGGUGGCAAGCGUUGUCCGGAUUUAUUGGGCGUAAAGCGAGCGCAGGCGGUUUUUUAAGUCUGAUGUGAAAGCCUUCGGCUCAACCGAAGAAGUGCAUCGGAAACUGGGAAACUUGAGUGCAGAAGAGGACAGUGGAACUCCAUGUGUAGCGGUGAAAUGCGUAGAUAUAUGGAAGAACACCAGUGGCGAAGGCGAGACAUGUCUGGUCUGUAACUGACGCUGAGGCUCGAAAGUAUGGGUAGCAAACAGGAUUAGAUACCCUGGUAGUCCAUACCGUAAACGAUGAAUGCUAAGUGUUGGAGGGUUUCCGCCCUUCAGUGCAUGCAGCUAACGCAUUAAGCAUUCCGCCUGGGGAGUACGGCCGCAAGGCUGAAACUCAAAGGAAUUGACGGGGGCCCGCACAAGCGGUGGAGCAUGUGGUUUAAUUCGAAGCUACGCGAAGAACCUUACCAGGUCUUGACAUACUAUGCAAAUCUAAGAGAUUAGACGUUCCCUUCGGGGACAUGGAUACAGGUGGUGCAUGGUUGUCGUCAGCUCGUGUCGUGAGAUGUUGGGUUAAGUCCCGCAACGAGCGCAACCCUUAUUAUCAGUUGCCAGCAUUAAGUUGGGCACUCUGGUGAGACUGCCGGUGACAAACCGGAGGAAGGUGGGGAUGACGUCAAAUCAUCAUGCCCCUUAUGACCUGGGCUACACACGUGCUACAAUGGAUGGUACAACGAGUUGCGAACUCGCGAGAGUAAGCUAAUCUCUUAAAGCCAUUCUCAGUUCGGAUUGUAGGCUGCAACUCGCCUACAUGAAGUCGGAAUCGCUAGUAAUCGCGGAUCAGCAUGCCGCGGUGAAUACGUUCCCGGGCCUUGUACACACCGCCCGUCACACCAUGAGAGUUUGUAACACCCAAAGUCGGUGGGGUAACC
Molecule: ribosomal RNA, 1465 nt
Filed under: Lactiplantibacillus plantarum
Lineage: Bacteria; Bacillati; Bacillota; Bacilli; Lactobacillales; Lactobacillaceae
Description: Lactobacillus plantarum 16S ribosomal RNA
Rfam family: Bacterial small subunit ribosomal RNA
Source: RNAcentral